RNAcentral lists this ribosomal RNA (235 nucleotides) under bacterium. RNAcentral describes it as "partial 16S ribosomal RNA". It matches the Rfam family "Bacterial small subunit ribosomal RNA", at positions 542 to 776 of the family's 1533-position model. The record is from RNAcentral.
UAUCCGGAUUUAUUGGGUUUAAAGGGUCCGUAGGCGGAUGUGUAAGUCAGUGGUGAAAUCUCACAGCUUAACUGUGAAACUGCCAUUGAUACUGCAUGUCUUGAGUGUUGUUGAAGUAGCUGGAAUAAGUAGUGUAGCGGUGAAAUGCAUAGAUAUUACUUAGAACACCAAUUGCGAAGGCAGGUUACUAAGCAACAACUGACGCUGAUGGACGAAAGCGUGGGGAGCGAACAGG